AACUUUAUAUGAAAUAAAAAAAAAAAAAAAAAAAGAGGUUCAUCCGAGGCGUGGUUAUUGCUAGUUGAAAACUAAUCCCAAUACCCCGCGCUGACGCCCUUCACUGGGCGGCAUGCGCAAUUUUUGCUAGCUCCUACGGGAG
This is a small nuclear RNA of Haliotis rubra (blacklip abalone), 142 nucleotides long. RefSeq annotates it as U4 spliceosomal RNA. The record is from RefSeq and is a predicted model, not a curated record. The transcript has a single exon. Lineage: Eukaryota; Metazoa; Mollusca; Gastropoda; Lepetellida; Haliotidae.